This 240-nucleotide unclassified non-coding RNA is filed under the name soil metagenome. RNAcentral describes it as "partial contains 5.8S ribosomal RNA, internal transcribed spacer 2, and large subunit ribosomal RNA". The record is from RNAcentral.
AACUGAUACUACCUGCGGGAACCUGCGGAGGGAUCAUUACAGGACUCGCAAGACUCCUACAACCCUGUGAACUUAACUAUAAGCACGUUGCUUCGGCGGGUGUCUCGGCGAGGGUUCUCCCUCCCCGGGGCGCUAAGCCCGCCGGCAGCCUACUAUACUCUGUCUCUUUGCGUUGGCAUCUCGAGUACAAACAAACAAGUUAAAACUUUUAACAAUGGAUCUCUAGAUCGGAAGAGCACA